UGAACUGGCAGAGAGAGAUGGUUAUUAGAAAAUAAAAUGCACUUAGAGUCCCCCAUGAAUCAUUUAUGGGAGACACCAUGCUUAGCAAAGACUAUGAAAAUAUGGCUGUUAAGGGCAACUCAGGCACUAUUUCUGGAUGACUUUCAAGCAUGACCACUAGCUACAGGACUGGGCCUGGACACAUUAGAAGAAUUUAGGCCUUCAGGAUGAAAAGGAAAAUGUGUGGGCAGAGACUGAGUCCAAGGCAGUGGCCUUCACAAGUCACCCUGUGAUGGUGUCCAUACUGCGAGGCAUCCCUCACCCGAGAAAGCAACUUUUUCUGCACGGGAUGACUCUGGUUACAUUUGCUUGUUCCCGCCAUGAAUAAAAGGAAGAGAGGUCAGCUGAAGAGGCAAUUAAUUCAACACAACUGAGUCUACGACUAAAGGAAAAUGGACGAGCUUCCCCACAGGCAGUAGGAGUGCCCACCCCAGGGGUCCGGUUUAUCAAGGAAUUUCAAAGCAUCCCCUGCCACGUGCUUCUGACUCCUCCACUACCUCGCUUUGGAAUAAGUGGUUAAAAAAGAGAAACCUCUGUUUAUUGGACUGACGGAGCAACUGGACUUGUUGAGGUUGCAUUGCUCAGGGUGGCUCCAGGCAAGCAGACAGCUGAGAG
This is a long non-coding RNA of Homo sapiens (human), 654 nucleotides long. The record is from Ensembl. NCBI's taxonomy places the organism in Eukaryota, Metazoa, Chordata, Mammalia, Primates, Hominidae.